GACGAACGCUGGCGGCGUGCUUAACACAUGCAAGUCGAACGGAAAGGCCCUGCUUUUGUGGGGUGCUCGAGUGGCGAACGGGUGAGUAACACGUGAGUAACCUGCCCUUGACUUUGGGAUAACUUCAAGAAACUGGGGCUAAUACCGGAUAGGAGCUCCUGCAGCACGGUGGGGGUUGGAAAGUUUCGGCGGUUGGGGAUGGACUCGCGGCUUAUCAGCUUGUUGGUGGGGUAGUGGCUUACCAAGGCUUUGACGGGUAGCCGGCCUGAGAGGGGGACCGGCCACAAUGGGACUGAGAUACGGCCCAGACGCCUACGGGAGGCAGCAGUGGGGAAUAUUGCACAAUGGGCGGAAGCCUGAUGCAGCAACGCCGCGUGCGGGAUGACGGCCUUCGGGUUGUAAACCGCUUUCGCCUGUGACGAAGCGUGAGUGACGGUAAUGGGUAAAGAAGCACCGGCUAACUACGUG
RNAcentral lists this ribosomal RNA (468 nucleotides) under uncultured bacterium. Its description in RNAcentral is "partial 16S ribosomal RNA". It matches the Rfam family "Bacterial small subunit ribosomal RNA", at positions 28 to 507 of the family's 1533-position model. The record is from RNAcentral.